RNAcentral lists this unclassified non-coding RNA (243 nucleotides) under Hevea brasiliensis (rubber tree). Lineage: Eukaryota; Viridiplantae; Streptophyta; Magnoliopsida; Malpighiales; Euphorbiaceae. The record is from RNAcentral.
GCUCGUGAAGAGAUAAGAUACUGAAGUUGGUAUAGCGGUCGUGGUAGGAACUGGUGAUGUGCUCGUGCCAACUGCAGAGUAUUCCUUUUUGUGGUCAUUUUCGGUGUUAAAAGUAUCUUUGAUGAGCUUCUUCUUCUCGUGAUCCAACAGCUGCUUAGAAGAUGCAUCGAAUCCGGACCGAUCCGGAAAUUGCCUCGGGAAGAAAUAAGUCGUUCUGUGAGGCAUUUUUCGACGGACCUCACC